GAUGAACGCUGACAGAAUGCUUAACACAUGCAAGUCAACUUGAACUUCGGUUUGGGUGGCGGACGGGUGAGUAACGCGUAAAGAACUUGCCUCACAGAUAGGGACAACAUUUGGAAACGAAUGCUAAUACCUGAUAUUAUGAUUAUAUGGCAUCGUAUAAUUAUGAAAGCUAUAUGCGCUGUGAGAGAGCUUUGCGUCCCAUUAGCUAGUUGGAGAGGUAACGGCUCACCAAGGCGAUGAUGGGUAGCCGGCCUGAGAGGGUGUUCGGCCACAAGGGGACUGAGACACGGCCCUUACUCCUACGGGAGGCAGCAGUGGGGAAUAUUGGACAAUGGACCAAGAGUCUGAUCCAGCAAUUCUGUGUGCACGAUGAAGUUUUUCGGAAUGUAAAGUGCUUUCAGUUGGGAAGAAAAAAAUGACGGUACCAACAGAAGAAGUGACGGCUAAAUACGUG
This 454-nucleotide ribosomal RNA is filed under the name uncultured bacterium. RNAcentral describes it as "partial 16S ribosomal RNA". It matches the Rfam family "Bacterial small subunit ribosomal RNA", at positions 28 to 507 of the family's 1533-position model. The record is from RNAcentral.